Molecule: long non-coding RNA, 574 nt
Filed under: Anser brachyrhynchus (Pink-footed goose)
Lineage: Eukaryota; Metazoa; Chordata; Aves; Anseriformes; Anatidae
Description: lncRNA (ENSABRG00000019211.1)
Source: RNAcentral
CCAGGCUGAGCCAUACUGAUUGCUAACAAUUCCUGUGAUUGUUAUUCUCAUGUUUGGGGUUAAUCUCUCUGGAAGCCUUUGUCGAUUGCCAUAAGUUCCUGCCCUUCCUUUGUCUUUUAGCUCCAGUCAUUCUUUCUCCCUGCCGAGCCAGCAUCCAGAGUAGUGUUGUUCUUUGGAGAGGUACUUGAAUCGUGCCCUUCUGUGGGUGAGCUGAAUGAAUUGGCUGAUGGGGAAGCUGGAGGUUCCUCUUGCUGCAGCUGGAAACAAGGAGAAGAGCCAGCACUGUGUGACCUGCCAGCUCUCUAUGGAUUGUCAGUGGUCAAUGGAGCACAGAUUUCAGAACUGCUCUCCAGGAUGCUGUCCUUCCUCACAGCUCUUUGCUCAGUGAGUGAAACACAUACCACCUGAGAACCGGAGAUGUUCUCUUUAGAGAGACUAGAACCAAAGUUUUGUCUCAAGAACACAGAGAAGAAAAGCAACUCCUUUGAUUACAAAGCAAUAAUUGCACCAUCCCUGGGCAACUUCUCCAAAUCUUCCAUUUGUUCCUUCACUGUUCCUAUUUCACUAUUGGGUU